AGACUCCUACGGGAGGCAGCAGUGGGGAAUAUUGCACAAUGGGCGAAAGCCUGAUGCAGCGACGCCGCGUGAGGGAUGAAGGCCUUCGGGUUGUAAACCUCUUUCAGCAGGGAAGAAGCGCAAGUGACGGUACCUGCAGAAGAAGCGCCGGCUAACUACGUGCCAGCAGCCGCGGUAAUACGUAGGGCGCAAGCGUGUCCCGGAAUUAUUGGGCGUAAAGAGCUCGUAGGCGGUUUGUCGCGUCUGGUGUGAAAACUCGAGGCUCAACCUCGAGCUUGCAUCGGGUACGGGCAGACUAGAGUGCGGUAGGGGAGACUGGAAUUCCUGGUGUAGCGGUGGAAUGCGCAGAUAUCAGGAGGAACACCGAUGGCGAAGGCAGGUCUCUGGGCCGCAACUGACGCUGAGGAGCGAAAGCAUGGGGAGCGAACAGGAUUAGAUACCCUGGUAGUCCAUGCCGUAAACGUUGGGCACUAGGUGUGGGGCUCAUUCCACGAGUUCCGUGCCGCAGCAAACGCAUUAAGUGCCCCGCCUGGGGAGUACGGCCGCAAGGCUAAAACUCAAAGGAAUUGACGGGGGCCCGCACAAGCGGCGGAGCAUGCGGAUUAAUUCGAUGCAACGCGAAGAACCUUACCAAGGCUUGACAUGCACGAGAAGCCACCAGAGAUGGUGGUCUCUUUGGACACUCGUGCACAGGUGGUGCAUGGUUGUCGUCAGCUCGUGUCGUGAGAUGUUGGGUUAAGUCCCGCAACGAGCGCAACCCUCGUCCCAUGUUGCCAGCGGGUUAUGCCGGGGACUCAUGGGAGACUGCCGGGGUCAACUCGGAGGAAGGUGGGGAUGACGUCAAAUCAUCAUGCCCCUUAUGUCUUGGGCUUCACGCAUGCUACAAUGGCCGGUACAAAGGGCUGCGAUACCGUAAGGUGGAGCGAAUCCCAAAAAGCCGGUCUCAGUUCGGAUUGGGGUCUGCAACUCGACCCCAUGAAGUCGGAGUCGCUAGUAAUCGCAGAUCAGCAACGCUGCGGUGAAUACGUUCCCGGGCCUUGUACACACCGCCCGUCAAGUCACGAAAGUCGGUAACACCCGAAGCCCAUGGCCCAACCGUUCGCGGGGGGAGUGGUCGAAGGUGGGACUGGCGAUGGACUAAGUCGUAACAAGAGCC
The sequence is a ribosomal RNA, 1156 nucleotides long. It matches the Rfam family "Bacterial small subunit ribosomal RNA", at positions 333 to 1499 of the family's 1533-position model.